GAUGAAGAACGUAGCGAAAUGCGAUAAGUAAUGUGAAUUGCAGAAUUCAGUGAAUCAUCGAAUCUUUGAACGCACAUUGCGCCCCCUGGUAUUCCGGGGGGCAUGCCUGUUCGAGCGUCAUUUCACCACUCAAGCCUCGCUUGGUAUUGGGCAACGCGGUCCGCCGCGUGCCUCAAAUCGACCGGCUGGGUCUUCUGUCCCCCAAGCGUUGUGGAAACUUUCGCUAAAGGGUGUUCGGGAGGCUACGCCGUAAAACAACCCCAUUUCUAAGGUUGACCUCGGAUCAGGUAGGGAUACCCGCUGAACUUAAGCAUAUCAAUAAGCGGAGGA
Molecule: unclassified non-coding RNA, 330 nt
Filed under: soil metagenome
Description: partial contains 5.8S ribosomal RNA, internal transcribed spacer 2, and large subunit ribosomal RNA
Rfam family: 5.8S ribosomal RNA (bases 1-120)
Source: RNAcentral